UGGAAACCCCUGCUUGCUUCUGCAGUCCAUGUGAGUGGUUUGAUAUUCCCCAACCUUUCACCUUCAGUCUGUGGAUGUCUUUUCCUAUGAGAUGAGUCUCUUGGAGGCAGCAUAUUGUUGGUUUUUUAAAAAAUCCAAUCUGCUAGUCUAUGUCUUUUGACUGGUGAGUUUAGGCCAUUAACAUUCAGGGUUAUUAUUGAGAUAUGAUUGGUAUUAUCAG
Molecule: long non-coding RNA, 220 nt
Filed under: Marmota monax (woodchuck)
Lineage: Eukaryota; Metazoa; Chordata; Mammalia; Rodentia; Sciuridae
Source: RNAcentral